Molecule: unclassified non-coding RNA, 228 nt
Filed under: plant metagenome
Description: partial contains small subunit ribosomal RNA and internal transcribed spacer 1
Rfam family: Eukaryotic small subunit ribosomal RNA (bases 1-46)
Source: RNAcentral
AAGUCGUAACAAGGUUUCCGUAGGUGAACCUGCGGAAGGAUCAUUACAAGUGAGGCUACCGAACGCUGGAAAUCAGCGUUAGGAGCUUACACCCACCCGUGUUUACAUGGCUAUUCGUUGCUUGGCGGGCCGAUGGCCUCCACUGCGGGCUCUGCUCGUGUGUGCCCGCCCAGAGGACCCAAAACUACUGAAUGUUAGUGAUUGUCGAGUACUAUCUAAUAGUUAAAA